RNAcentral lists this non-coding RNA (131 nucleotides) under unclassified sequences. RNAcentral's name for it is "lysM-TM7 RNA". It matches the Rfam family "lysM-TM7 RNA". The record is from RNAcentral.
ACCUACCAGAAAAUACUUUAUAGCAUUCGUUUAACUCUAUAAUAUUAAUUAAAAAAGGUCGACAUUAUGCUAAUUUUCGAAAAGAAAGGGUAUUAUUAAGGUAGUGCAUCACAGUAAUGUGUUUGCGGGAG